RNAcentral lists this ribosomal RNA (497 nucleotides) under uncultured bacterium. Its description in RNAcentral is "partial 16S ribosomal RNA". It matches the Rfam family "Bacterial small subunit ribosomal RNA", at positions 28 to 507 of the family's 1533-position model. The record is from RNAcentral.
GACGAACGCUGGCGGCGUGCCUAAUACAUGCAAGUAGAACGCUGAAGAGAGGAGCUUACUCUUCUUGGAUGAGUUGCGAACGGGUGAGUAACGCGUAGGUAACCUGCCUUGUAGCAGGGGAUAACUAUUGGAAACGAUAGCUAAUACCGCAUAACAAUGGAUGACACAUGUCAUUUAUUUGAAAGGGGCAAUUGCUCCACUACAAGAUGGACCUGCGUUGUAUUAGCUAGUAGGUGAGGUAAUGGCUCACCUAGGCGACGAUACAUAGCCGACCUGAGAGGGUGAUCGGCCACACUGGGACUGAGACACGGCCCAGACUCCUACGGGAGGCAGCAGUAGGGAAUCUUCGGCAAUGGGGGCAACCCUGACCGAGCAACGCCGCGUGAGUGAAGAAGGUUUUCGGAUCGUAAAGCUCUGUUGUAAGUCAAGAACGGGUGUGAGAGUGGAAAGUUCACACUGUGACGGUAGCUUACCAGAAAGGGACGGCUAACUACGUG